Molecule: ribosomal RNA, 301 nt
Filed under: uncultured bacterium
Lineage: Bacteria
Description: partial 16S ribosomal RNA
Rfam family: Bacterial small subunit ribosomal RNA
Source: RNAcentral
CAGCCGCCACGGUAAUACGUAGGGUGCGAGCGUUAAUCGGAAUUACUGGGCGUAAAGCGUGCGCAGGCGGUUGUGUAAGACAGGUGUGAAAUCCCCGGGCUUAACCUGGGAACUGCGCUUGUGACUGCACAGCUAGAGUAUGGCAGAGGGGGGUGGAAUUCCACGUGUAGCAGUGAAAUGCGUAGAGAUGUGGAGGAACACCGAUGGCGAAGGCAGCCCCCUGGGCCAAUACUGAUGCUCAUGCACGAAAGCGUGGGGAGCAAACAGGAUUAGAUACCCCUGUAGUCCCUGUCUCUUAUAC